This 539-nucleotide ribosomal RNA is filed under the name uncultured bacterium. RNAcentral's name for it is "bacterial SSU rRNA". It matches the Rfam family "Bacterial small subunit ribosomal RNA", at positions 8 to 526 of the family's 1533-position model. The record is from RNAcentral.
AGAGUUUGAUCCUGGCUCAGAAUCAACGCUGGCGGCGUGCCUCAGACAUGCAAGUCGAACGCGAAAGUUCCCUUCGGGGAGCGAGUAGAGUGGCGCACGGGUGAGUAACACGUAGGUAAUCUACCUUUGGAUGGGGAAUAACAACCGGAAACGGUUGCUAAUACCGCAUAAUGCAGCGGCACCUAAUGGUGACAGUUGUUAAAGCGGGGGAUCGAAAGACCUCGCGUCUGAAGAGGAGCCUGCGGCAGAUUAGCUAGUUGGUAAGGUAACGGCUUACCAAGGCGAUGAUCUGUAACCGGCCUGAGAGGGCGGUCGGUCACACUGACACUGACAUACGGGUCAGACUCCUACGGGAGGCAGCAGUCGGGAAUUUUGGGCAAUGGGCGAAAGCCUGACCCAGCAACGCCGCGUGAAGGAUGAAAUCCCUCGGGAUGUAAACUUCGCAAGAACAGGAAGAAUAAGUAAGAGUUAAUAUCUCUUAUGAUGACGGUACUGUUUGUAAGCUCCGGCUAACUCCGUGCCAGCCGCCGCGGUAAUAC